UUUAUGAUAUCGAAUGUAUAGUUCCCCUGUUCUUUUAUGAUGUUAUAUCACAUCCUUGCUUAUGAUCUUAUCUCUUAACAAGUAUUGAAGCAUGGAUUUUAUUUUCUUGUAAUUGCAAAAUAUGAGUUGUGCACGUAUUUUGUGACUAGAUAAUAAUGAAAAAUUAUAGGUGUAAGCAACAUUGUUAAAUUAAAGUGCUUAUCGGGUGUCACGAAAAAUGGUGUACAGACUUAGUACAUAGUGUAAACCCUACCGUUGACGUUACCCUUAGCCGAAUGAGACUGAGAAGUCACAUACCGAAAAAGGUUAUGAAUUAUUUUGAUUAUACUCAUUACCAGACGGAAUAUUGAAACGGUUGUAUGUUUGGCGCCCAUUACCGAACAAGGUAUCGAGAUGGUUGUUUGAUUAAUUAAAUGGAUAUUUGGUCCACGUGUAAUGAGGACCCUUAUAGACUCCCAACAGCACCGGUAAGUGAGUAAAAAUGAUAAAAGUUGAUUAUUGUUGGUCUUUUAGAAUGCUUAAUGUGAAUUACUAU
RNAcentral lists this long non-coding RNA (535 nucleotides) under Carica papaya (papaya). Its description in RNAcentral is "long non-coding RNA (CPAP_LNC007329)". The record is from RNAcentral. Lineage: Eukaryota; Viridiplantae; Streptophyta; Magnoliopsida; Brassicales; Caricaceae.